RNAcentral lists this transfer RNA (87 nucleotides) under Candidatus Latescibacteria bacterium 4484_107. Its description in RNAcentral is "tRNA-Leu". It matches the Rfam family "tRNA". Rfam says of the family: Transfer RNA (tRNA) molecules are approximately 80 nucleotides in length. Their secondary structure includes four short double-helical elements and three loops (D, anti-codon, and T loops). Further hydrogen bonds mediate the characteristic L-shaped molecular structure. tRNAs have two regions of fundamental functional importance: the anti-codon, which is responsible for specific mRNA codon recognition, and the 3' end, to which the tRNAs corresponding amino acid is attached (by aminoacyl-tRNA synthetases). tRNAs cope with the degeneracy of the genetic code in two manners: having more than one tRNA (with a specific anti-codon) for a particular amino acid; and 'wobble' base-pairing, i.e. permitting non-standard base-pairing at the 3rd anti-codon position. RNAcentral also lists the same sequence under 2 other names. Lineage: Bacteria; Pseudomonadati; Candidatus Latescibacterota. The record is from RNAcentral.
GCCGAAGUGGUGGAAUUGGCAGACGCGCUGGUUUCAGGGACCAGUGGGGGAAACCCCGUGGGGGUUCAAAUCCCCCCUUCGGCACCA